Molecule: unclassified non-coding RNA, 449 nt
Filed under: Hevea brasiliensis (rubber tree)
Lineage: Eukaryota; Viridiplantae; Streptophyta; Magnoliopsida; Malpighiales; Euphorbiaceae
Source: RNAcentral
GUAUAAUAUGAGGAAUACUGUUAGGGAUGAGAAAUUUGCGGGGAAGCUGAAUCCAGAAGAUAAGCAGAAGAUUGAGAAAUCUGUUGAAGAUACAAUUGAGUGGUUGGAUAGGAACCAACUGGCGGAGGUUGAUGAGCUUGAAGAUAAGCUGAAGGAGCUCGAGGGUAUCUGUAAUCCCAUCAUUGCCAAGAUGUAUCAGGGCGGUGCUCCCAUGGGCGAUGAUAUGCCUGGCGGCGGCUCCGCCCAGUCCGGGGGUGCUGGGCCGAAGAUUGAGGAGGUUGAUUGAGGAGAUAGACUGAGUUUUUUAAGCAGAAGUUGAGAAUGUGAGAAUGUGACACAGACAUAAUGUUCUUCUUUUUCUCUUUAAUUACAAGGAAUAGGAUGUCUUUCUGUUUUUUCUUCUUGGGUGAAAAUAGUGAAGGGUUGUAAUGUAUGUAUGUAUGUUUGAG